AAGUGGAUUAGUGGCGCACGGGUGAGUAAUGCAUAGGUUAUGUGCCCUUUAGUCUGGGAUAGCCACUGGAAACGGUGAUUAAUACUGGAUACUCCCUACGGGGGAAAGGUUUUUCGCUAAAGGAUCAGCCUAUGUCCUAUCAGCUUGUUGGUGAGGUAAUGGCUCACCAAGGCUAUGACGGGUAUCCGGCCUGAGAGGGUGAUCGGACACACUGGAACUGAGACACGGUCCAGACUCCUACGGGAGGCAGCAGUAGGGAAUAUUGCUCAAUGGGGGAAACCCUGAAGCAGCAACGCCGCGUGGAGGAUGAAGGUUUUAGGAUUGUAAACUCCUUUUGUAAGAGAAGAUU
RNAcentral lists this ribosomal RNA (349 nucleotides) under uncultured Helicobacter sp. RNAcentral describes it as "bacterial SSU rRNA". It matches the Rfam family "Bacterial small subunit ribosomal RNA", at positions 85 to 450 of the family's 1533-position model. The record is from RNAcentral. Lineage: Bacteria; Pseudomonadati; Campylobacterota; Epsilonproteobacteria; Campylobacterales; Helicobacteraceae.